GAUGAACGCUGACAGAAUGCUUAACACAUGCAAGUCAACUUGAAUUUGGGUUUUUAACUUAGGUUUGGGUGGCGGACGGGUGAGUAACGCGUAAAGAACUUGCCUCACAGCUAGGGACAACAUUUGGAAACGAAUGCUAAUACCUAAUAUUAUGAUAAUAGGGCGUCCUAUAAUUAUGAAAGCUAUAAGCGCUAUGAGAGAGCUUUGCGUCCCAUUAGCUAGUUGGAGAGGUAACGGCUCACCAAGGCGAUGAUGGGUAGCCGGCCUGAGAGGGUGAUCGGCCACAAGGGGACUGAGACACGGCCCUUACUCCUACGGGAGGCAACAGUGGGGAAUAUUGGACAAUGGACCGAGAGUCUGAUCCAGCAAUUCUGUGUGCACGAUGAAGUUUUUCGGAAUGUAAAGUGCUUUCAGUUGGGAAGAAACAAAUGACGGUACCAACAGAAGAAGUGACGGCUAAAUACGUG
This 467-nucleotide ribosomal RNA is filed under the name uncultured bacterium. RNAcentral's name for it is "partial 16S ribosomal RNA". It matches the Rfam family "Bacterial small subunit ribosomal RNA", at positions 28 to 507 of the family's 1533-position model. The record is from RNAcentral.